This 669-nucleotide ribosomal RNA is filed under the name Neliopisthus sp. NHM676039. RNAcentral describes it as "eukaryotic LSU rRNA". It matches the Rfam family "Eukaryotic large subunit ribosomal RNA", at positions 420 to 827 of the family's 3401-position model. The record is from RNAcentral. Lineage: Eukaryota; Metazoa; Arthropoda; Insecta; Hymenoptera; Ichneumonidae.
CCUGAGAAACCCAAAAGAUCGAAUGGGGAGAUUCAUCGUCAGCGAUUCUGGUACUUGUGCGGUUCGUGAUGCCACGGGACUCACGUCUUGUGUCACGCGUCCGUAUGGUUUCAUUGCCAGGUGUCGUCGGCGUGCACUUCUCCCCUGGUAGGACGUCGCGACCCGUUGGGUGUCGGUCUACGGCCCGGGUGGGCGCCUGUCAUGCGUAACGCUUAACGGCGUCGUGUGGCAGACCCCCGGUUGUCUGGCCGGCUGCUCGGCGGUACUCGCACGGUAUCGGGCCGCAAAUAUUCGAACUGCGUCCGGCCCGCCGCAAGCGAGGCCAGUGUUACCCGGAUGUACGGACCUAGCGCCGUCACCGGGCCUGGCCAGCUGUUGGUUGGCGGUGUCCUGGGACUGGCUCUGUAUAAAAUUAUGAUACCGGUCGGCGACGCUACUGCUUUGGGUACUUUCAGGACCCGUCUUGAAACACGGACCAAGGAGUCUAACAUGUGCGCGAGUCAUUGGGACUUGUUAAGCCUAAAGGCGCAAUGAAAGUGAAGGUCGGCCUUGCGCCGACCGAGGGAGGAUGGACCGCGUCACGAUGCGGCCCCGCACUCCCGGGGCGUCUCGUUCUCAUUACGAGAAGAGGCGCACCCAGAGCGUACACGUUGGGACCCGAAAGAUGGU